UACGUAGGGUGCGAGCGUUGUCCGGAAUUACUGGGCGUAAAGAGCUCGUAGGCGGCUUGUCGCGUUGUCCGUGAAAAUUUACCGCUCAACGGUGAACUUGCGGGCGAUACGGGCAGGCUAGAGUACUGCAGGGGAGACUGGAAUUCCUGGUGUAGCGGUGAAAUGCGUAGAUAUCAAGAGGAACACCUGAGGUGAAGACGGGUUGCUGGGCUGACACUGACGCUGAGGCGCGAAAGCUAGGGGAGCAAACGGG
This 253-nucleotide ribosomal RNA is filed under the name uncultured bacterium. RNAcentral's name for it is "partial 16S ribosomal RNA". It matches the Rfam family "Bacterial small subunit ribosomal RNA", at positions 524 to 776 of the family's 1533-position model. The record is from RNAcentral.